Arvicanthis niloticus (Nile rat) is the source of this 642-nucleotide long non-coding RNA. RefSeq lists it as uncharacterized. The record is from RefSeq and is a predicted model, not a curated record. Lineage: Eukaryota; Metazoa; Chordata; Mammalia; Rodentia; Muridae.
UGCUAGAGGAACAGGGACAGUCUGUUUCACAAGUUCGGCCAAUAUAGCCCACAGCCAGUUUCUAUUCACUAGCCAGUUUCUCUAACUUGGUCCAUCUGUCUGGUGUGGAACUGAUCACAAUAGCUACAGCACAUCAUUGCCCUACAAGGACACGUGUUCCUGACAGGGCUCAGCCUAGGCUAGUCUGGAAUUCAGCAUUUAGCAAAGAUGGCCUUGAAGUCCUGACCUUUCUGUGUUCACCUCCCGUUUGAUGGAAUUACAGUUCUGUCUGUGGCUUUACCAGCACAACCUCAGUGAGAAAGCUCAGUAUCCCUGGUUCAGUGAGUCAGGAAGGGGAAGCCAGGAACUGUGCGUCUUUAUAGGAGUGACAGAACCCUGGAAGGAUGCUGGGAGCUGCAGCCUUCACUGUGUCUCUCCAGAAGAUGAAAAGAAUCCAGAAUUCACACAAUGGAACUUUUAGACCAUCCAGAAUGCAAUCAGAAAUGCUGUCUACACAAGGUAUUGGGGAAACCAAGCCACAGUGUAACUCAAACAAGGUCCUCCCUGGUUUGGAGCAGCUCUCCCAGCUGCUGCAUGGGUGACAAGAGGAAACAUAUUCCAACAAGUGAGUGAAAGUCUCCCUGAGGCCAGGAACCCCAAGAG